UUGGGACACAAGUCAUAAGGGGCCCUUUCAGUACCACUUAUCCCUGCAGCCUGGGUAGGGGAGGCAUGGGAAUGUCAGUCCUCACCACCCACUCCUUCUAGGCAGAUGCUCCCAAUGCCCCCUCCACCCAGCCCCAAGGCCCAGCUACAUGACUGGAGUUUUCAUGAGCCUCCAGUCCUCCCAAGUGGUCCUUCCAGCACCUUCCACAGGUCUCCCCAGCCAUCCUGCACCCCCUACACCAGCCACGUAACUAUUCAUGCAUUCUUGGUAAAUCCCUGGUACAAUCUAAUCUGGACCAACAUUUCUACAGAAGCCCUGUGAUUACUUCACUCCUGUGUUCAAAUCCUCCAUUUGCUCCUCUCACCCACUACAAAUCCCCAAAUCCUCCAGCUAGAAUUGACUUCCAAAAUCCAGCUGCGAUGGGAAGGGUGAGCCAGACUCCUCCCCUUCCCCAGCUGCUCAUCCUCAGGCAAGACACUUCACCACUUGAGCCUUGGUUUUCUCAUCUGUGAAAUGGGGAUGAUAAACCAAAAUUAAAAUUCUAAGCCCCUCGACCACAUGAAUGAACCCGUCCUCUCAGGAAGGCUAUUGAUGGCAAUUUGGAAUCUCGGCAGUGCCAAAGCUAACCUGAAAAACUAAUUCAGGCCAUGCUGGGAAGGGUAGGGGGCUGGACAUACCUGAUUCUACCCUCCUCCCCUUUGGAAUUAUUGAUAGACCCUUUAAGUCUGACAAGAAACAUUUACAAUCUAUUUUCUCCAAAACCUGCUACCUGGAGGCUUCACCUGCAUAAUAAAACCUUGGUCUCCACAACCACUUAUCUUAACCCAGACAUUUCUAAGUCUUUAGACAAUAACUUAACUCUUUCAACCAAUUGCCAAACAGAAAAUCUUCGAAUCCACCUAUGGCUUGGAAGCCAUCCCCACUUCCAGUUGUCCUGCCUUUUCUGGACCAAACCAAUGUACAUCUUACAUGUAUUUGAUGUCUCAUGUCUCCCUAAUAUGUAUAAAACUAAGCUGUACCCCAACCACCUUGGGCACAUGUUCUCAGGAUCUCCUGAGGGCUGAGUCAUGGGCCAGUGGCCACUCAUAUUUGGCUCAGAAUAAAUCUCUUUAAAUAUU
Macaca mulatta (Rhesus monkey) is the source of this 1118-nucleotide non-coding RNA. Lineage: Eukaryota; Metazoa; Chordata; Mammalia; Primates; Cercopithecidae. The record is from RefSeq and is a predicted model, not a curated record.